Molecule: non-coding RNA, 2480 nt
Organism: Ictidomys tridecemlineatus (thirteen-lined ground squirrel)
Lineage: Eukaryota; Metazoa; Chordata; Mammalia; Rodentia; Sciuridae
Source: RefSeq, a predicted model, not a curated record
UGCCCCCUACCCCCACCCCCCGCCAUAGGGUACUCAUUUUUCCCCACCUGGACUUGAGUUCAAUGGAACACAUAAAUUUAAGCCAUAGUAUGUCCCUGAUCUUGAACCUAAACCCUUGUGCUCCUCUAUCACAUUCUCAUCAUUCUUUACUCAAAGAUGAGUUGCAACACUUGAUAGGGUAUUGAUUAUGGAGUUCUGAGCUCAGAAGCAAAAGAGGGUACAGAUUGAAAUUGAAUAAGCACAUAGGAACAAUAGGAACAUUAUAAGACAUAACACUUAUGUUUUAUGAUCUUUAGAUCAGUGGUCAAAAAAAUAACAAUAGAUACAUAUUUUUUUCUUGUCAGUACUGUGGAUUGAACUCAGAGACACUCUACCAAUGAGCCACAUCCCUCAGGAUUUUUUAUUUUGAGUUAGAGUUCUGCCAUCCAAUUUGCAAUCCUCCUGAUUCAGCCGCAAAAUUACAGCCAUGUGCACCAGCUCUGAGAUCACCACCAAGGACUUCAGUGAGAAAAAGGAAAUUGUGGCAGAGUCAGAAUGGAACCGCCCCUGCUAAUGGUCAUCAAGCCAUCCAGAAUGGAGAAAGUGUCCAGGAGUAAGCCCAGAAGAGAAAACAAUGCAGGAUGCCUUGAGGUGACAGAAUUCAAGAUCCAUGUCCCAUGUGAAAGGCAAGUUGGAUGAAGAGAGGAAGCCCUUCUGAACAUCCGUUUGACUGUGGAUUCUUCAUGGAUUGCCAUAAACUACUCACAUCUAACAGAAAAUCUUAUAUGAUAUCUGGAUUCUUGAUGUGUGCAUGAUAGGCUAGCAAUAGAUCUUUUGAUUGAGAGCUCACCCACUCUUUCUACCAAUGUGCUUAAUUAAGAAGUUAUAAAAUUAAAAUAUAGCUCCCUAUGGUCCUUAAUCCCCAGACAUUUUGUUUAAGUCAUUUUGCUUAUUAAUGAAAUCCCAUCAUCUUCCCCACACCAACAACUGAUGAGAACACAUUUUAUUAAUAGGCUCAAAUAUAUGUUCUUUAUAGGAUUUAAAAAAAAACAUAAGUGAAUGGGAAGUUAUACUCCACAUAUGUAUCUAUGUAUUUUGCUGUCAUGUAUCUAAAAAGAGCAAAUAAUUAUUUAAAAAAACAUUAUUUAGCUACUAAUGUUUCAGUAUUUAAAUUUUCUUAGAAAUAAGUCAUGUUUUAUAUUUGUCACAUUACAUAGACUGUACAUAAAGAACACAGUUAUAAGCACAUAUUUCAAUCACAUUUAUCUAGUUUAUUUACUUUUAACAAUUACUCCUAGAUAACCCAGAAUUACCAAAAUUCCAGACAAGCAUAGUCAGUAUUUUUUAAGCUGGUUUAUGUUUUUUUUUUCUUUUUUUCACAUUCAGAUGAGUUUAGGACUUAAUCUCAGAUUUUUCCUUCCAUCUAAGAUUGACUGAAAUUAUAAACUUCCAAAUGAACAUGAAUUUUUAAAAAUUAUCUUUUUUAUUUUUUAGUGCAUUAUAGUUGUAGUUAAAAUUAUCUUAAAGUUUUUUGCAAGAAAACUCUAUGUUAUACGUGCCAAUCAAACAUAAUUUUAAGUUAGGUGCAAAAAUGAAAAGUAAAUUUUUAAUGUUUUAUAUUAGUGCACAAAUAAUGGGUUGAUUUUGAGAUAAUCAUACAGUGUGAAACAAAAUUUGCUUCAUUGCAGUCCCCACUAAUUCCUCAUUCCCUGUUCUUCUCCCUCCCCCAUUUUUUCCUAUUCUUCUGAUGUUCCUUAUAUUUUUGUAUUGUUAGAUUUGUGCUUUAUAGGUAGGUAUACAUGCAAGUAAAAUUCACUGUGGUAUAUUGACAUAUGUACAGAGCAUAAUUUGGUAAAUUUCACUCCAUGGUUCUUCCCUUUUCCUGUCUCUCCUCCUAGUCCCAAGUCUGUAAUAUACUCGAUUAGCUCCUGUUUAUUUUCAUGGUGUCCCUCUAUCUUUCUUCCCCCCUUACUUUGUUCUUUGUGAGACAUGACAGAAAACAUUCAACCCUUAACUUGAUGAGCCUGGUUUAUUUCACUUAGCAUGAUGUUCUCCAGUUCCAUCUACUUACUGGCAAAUGCCACAGUUUUUUUUCUUCUUAGUGGCUGAGUAAAUUCCAUGUGUCUAUACACCACAUUUUCUUUAUCUGUUGAUAGACACGUGGGCUGGUUUCAUAACUUGACUAUUGUGAAUGGCACUGCUCUAAACAUUGAGGCCCCUGUAUCACUAUAGUAUGCUGACUUUAGUUCUUUAUGAAUAAAUACAAAGACAUGAAAUAGCUGGAUCAUGUGGUCGUUCCACUUCUAGUCUGUUGGGAAUUCUCCAAAGUGCUUUCCCGAGUACACUUACUAAUAUAUAACCAAUCAACAGUAUAUGAGUUUACAUUUUCUCCCCACUUCCUCCUCAGCAUUUAUUAAUUUGUAUUCCUGAUAAUUGCCAUUCUCAAUGGAUUGAGAUGAAAUUUCAAUGACUUUUUAUUUGCAUUUCCCUGAUUGUUGGGA